AGAAAAAAUAUUCUUUUGUACACUAUUAAUUAAUUUGAUAGUUAGUUUAAUAAAAAUCAUAGUAUAUGGACCAACUUAUUUUUCUAACAAUUCCAAGAAUCAUUCCCGUGAUGACACGUGGCUACGAAAACAUGUUGUAAUGCUCCAGGAUUAAUAUAUAGGGGAUGAGAUUCAAGACAUAAGAUUCUAGCCAUAUAUUAAUUAGAUAUAUCUUUCGAGUUAACCUUAAGAUUAAUUGUUAGUUUGCUAACAUAUUUCAUAAUAUUAAAUACGGCUAACGAGUUUAAUAGCAUAUAAAAUUUUUUUCAUAUAUUUAUAUUUAACUUUAAAAUUAUUUGUGAGAUUCAUUUUUAGCCUGAUAACAUAUCUAUUAACAUAUGACAACUUGAUCAUAUUUUACAUGUAUGGUUUAGUUAGGUUUUGAAAUUUGUUGUUAAAUGGCUAACAUCUAUCUAUUACAAUAAAUGAGACUUUUCUUCCUUCUUCGGUGUCCACGUCAGCAAGAGGGCAUGUGACGUUUUGUGCCACGUGGCAUAGAAAGAAUCUCAAGUUAUGGACUGAAUUUGUAGCUUUGAUAGGUUGGGUUACAGCUUUAACUUAAAAGUUGUGUUUAGGCCCAUUCUACUUUAGGGUUUGCGUCACCUUCUAAACAAUUUCGAUAAACAUGCUCAACAGCUUUACGAUACCUCUGAUAAUCUCACUGUUCUUUUAUCCGAGCUUUGACGUGAUUACCCACUCCUCCCACUCUCAAUCAUUGAAUCGAGCUCUUCAUCUCCCAAAAUAACCGACAGAAGCUCUGGCUAUGAAUCUCAGAACUCCCAGUCAUGAACAACACAACUUCUCCCAAAUCAAGAAGAAUAGUCUCUGCUACUUACAAACUCCUUCAUCCUUCUUGCCGAUCUGAAAUCUCGCUGCUCUACCACGGUGGAGGUCCGUUUGCUGAGGUUCUGGUAGAAUGUCAAGAAAGGUGGAAAGCGUAUGAGUGUGGGCAUGCUCCUCCUUGAUUAAAAGGUGACAAGAGGUUUAGCUAUGACCCAGGGAGAAUUCAGUCAGUAAGAGGAAGCUAACUAUCGACGCCAUAGUUAACGCCAUUGUUAACGAGGGUCAGUGUUGGAGAUUGGCCAUGGUCAGACAGGAGGACGUUCAAUGACAUGGUCCCUAAGCCUGAAUUCAAUAACUUUCAGGAUUUGUGAUGCUCCUGUCACUAUUAGUUUCACUGAUCAAACAUGAGGGACACAUUCUCUCUGAAGCCAAACCUCAUGGCUCUCACCAGACGCCGAAGAAAGAAAAAGAUCCAACUACCAUCGUUUGUGUUUGUUUUCUCUAGCUUUGAAAAGCUAAUUCAAUGGGUUUGGAUAGUUAAAAUUGUCUUUUGUACCAGAUACUGGUUCUUUUCUAUAGGUUUUAAUAUCAAUUAAAAGUUAUUUGUAUCUCUUGUAAGAGCCUAACGUUUUCAACUUUUUCCUUGCUAAGGUGUUAUGAUGUGCUUAGUU
Brassica napus (rape) is the source of this 1493-nucleotide long non-coding RNA. RefSeq lists it as uncharacterized. The transcript has 5 exons. Lineage: Eukaryota; Viridiplantae; Streptophyta; Magnoliopsida; Brassicales; Brassicaceae. The record is from RefSeq and is a predicted model, not a curated record.